This 490-nucleotide ribosomal RNA is filed under the name uncultured bacterium. RNAcentral describes it as "partial 16S ribosomal RNA". It matches the Rfam family "Bacterial small subunit ribosomal RNA", at positions 30 to 507 of the family's 1533-position model. The record is from RNAcentral.
AUUGAACGCUGGCGGCAGGCCUAACACAUGCAAGUCGAACGGUAACAGGAAGAAGCUUGCUUCUUUGCUGACGAGUGGCGGACGGGUGAGUAAUGUCUGGGAAACUGCCUGAUGGAGGGGGAUAACUACUGGAAACGGUAGCUAAUACCGCAUAACGUCGCAAGACCAAAGAGGGGGACCUUCGGGCCUCUUGCCAUCGGAUGUGCCCGGGUGGGAUUAGCUAGUAGGUGGGGUAACGGCUCACCUAGGCGACGAUCCCUAGCUGGUCUGAGAGGAUGACCAGCCACACUGGAACUGAGACACGGUCCAGACUCCUACGGGAGGCAGCAGUGGGGAAUAUUGCACAAUGGGCGAAAGCCUGAUGCAGCCAUGCCGCGUGUAUGAAGAAGGCCUUCGGGUUGUAAAGUACUUUCAGCGGGGAGGAAGGGAGUAGAGUUAAUACCUGUGCUCAUUGACGUUACCCGCAGAGGAAGCAACGGCUAACUCCGUG